This is a long non-coding RNA of Megalops cyprinoides (Indo-Pacific tarpon), 492 nucleotides long. RefSeq lists it as uncharacterized. The transcript is spliced from 3 exons. The record is from RefSeq and is a predicted model, not a curated record. Lineage: Eukaryota; Metazoa; Chordata; Actinopteri; Elopiformes; Megalopidae.
UAAACAGUGCCCAUUCGCGAUAACGGGUGUUGCUCAGGUGCAUUAAGUGUAUAAAACAAAUUUUAAAAUGCCAUGCUGUUCAGCGUAUGGCUGCAGCACACAGUCAAACAGGGGGAAACGAAUGCACCGUUUCCCCCGCGAUCCGGAACGCAGGAAAAUAUGGGAGGUGAAGGUUCGAAGAAAAGAUUGGAAGGCGAAUGACAACUCUUUCUUGUGUGAGGAUCACUUCGACAUCACACAGUACGAAUGCAACAGAAUUGAUGGCCUGAGAAAACUGAGGCCAAAUGCUGUUCCCACCCAGUUUGUCUUCAGCCCACCAAAGCUCCCCGGGAGACAGACAAAGCGGAGCAGGGCAGUACAUGAACCAUGCGAACCAUCGAAAACUAUUUGCCUGGACCAUCCAUACUGUGCGACAUGUCUUGAAGUUCAAUCAGCAAACAAACAAAGGCAAAAGAAAAUCUGCGUGAGGGAACGGAAGAAGAGAAAGGUAAA